RNAcentral lists this transfer RNA (64 nucleotides) under Fasciola gigantica. RNAcentral's name for it is "tRNA-Val". The record is from RNAcentral. Lineage: Eukaryota; Metazoa; Platyhelminthes; Trematoda; Plagiorchiida; Fasciolidae.
GGCAAUUUAGUUUAAUUUUAGAAUUCCUGUUUUACACAUAGGGGGAGAGCUUUUUCUGUUGUCA